AUGAAAUCUCGUAGCGAUGUUCUCCCUAUAUACAAACGUUUUGCUGCCAUGGUUCACACCCAGUUUGCCACGCCCAUUCGUACUUUUCGUGCUGACUCCGCUGGAGAGUAUAUCUCUCAGCUGUUGCGUGGUUUUCUCGCGGAACAGGGUACUCUUGCCCAGUUCUCGUGUCCUGGUGCUCAUGCUCAGAAUGGCGUUGCCGAACGAAAGCAUCGUCAUUUGCUUGAGACGGCUCGUGCGCUGAUGAUUGCUGCUUCCCUUCCACCCCAUUUUUGGGCUGAGGCUGUUUCAGCAUCCACCUACCUCAUCAACAUUCGGCCAUCGACUGCUCUGCAGGGUGGUAUUCCUAUGGAGUGUCUCACUGGUCGCUCUCCUGACUACUCAGCUCUUCGUAUGUUUGGAUGCGUGUGCUAUGUUCUUCUUGCCCCCCGAGAACGCACCAAACUGAUUGCUCAGUCGGUUGAGUGUGUUUUCCUUGGCUACAGUGAUGAGCACAAGGGCUAUCGAUGUUGGGAUCCUGUGGGUCGUCGCUUGCGCAUCUCGCGUGAUGUGAAUUUUGACGAGUCUCGUUCCUACUACCCACGUUCUUCUUCCUCGAGUUUCUCUGUGGACGACCUUUCUUUCCUUCUCCUUCCCGAUACACCCUGCUAUGUGCCUCAUGUGUCACCUCUUCCUCCGGCACCUCUCAUUUCUUCUCAUUCACCACCGACCCCGUCUUCUCCAUCCUCCUCCUCCACCUCUCCACCAUCAUCUCCAGUCCGUCGCCCUCUCUCACCGUUUCCUCUCCACUAUACUCGUCGAUCUCGUACUGAGGAUGUCUCCUCUGACGAUCCUCCCACCUCUGGUACACCUCCUCCCACGCCUCCCCCGGUUCACAACCUCCGUGCUCGGCCUCGCCCCCCGCCUGAUCGCUACUCCCCUGGUCGGUACGGUCUCUCUGUUAUUGCUGAGCCCACUUCCUAUCGGACUGCCAUGACUCAGCCUGAAUGGCAGCUUGCGAUGACCGAAGAGCUUGCUGCUCUUGAGCGCUCUAGCACAUGGGAUCUGGUUCCCCUUCCUUCCGGUGUUCGUCCCAUCACCUGCAAGUGGGUCUACAAGAUUAAGACUCGCUCCGAUGGUUCUCUUGAGCGCUAG
This 1134-nucleotide ribosomal RNA is filed under the name Triticum aestivum (bread wheat). Its description in RNAcentral is "partial small subunit ribosomal RNA". Lineage: Eukaryota; Viridiplantae; Streptophyta; Magnoliopsida; Poales; Poaceae. The record is from RNAcentral.